RNAcentral lists this transfer RNA (74 nucleotides) under Cordylochernes scorpioides. RNAcentral's name for it is "tRNA-Thr". It matches the Rfam family "tRNA". Rfam says of the family: Transfer RNA (tRNA) molecules are approximately 80 nucleotides in length. Their secondary structure includes four short double-helical elements and three loops (D, anti-codon, and T loops). The record is from RNAcentral. Lineage: Eukaryota; Metazoa; Arthropoda; Arachnida; Pseudoscorpiones; Chernetidae.
UCCAGGGUAGCCUAGUGGUCAUGGCAUCUGCCCAGUAAGCGGAAGGUCGUGGGUUCGAUUCCCAUCCCUUGAAA